This 118-nucleotide ribosomal RNA is filed under the name Amphilophus citrinellus (Midas cichlid). Lineage: Eukaryota; Metazoa; Chordata; Actinopteri; Cichliformes; Cichlidae. The record is from RNAcentral.
GCCGUAAGCCAUACCGAUCUCGCCCGCCCAAUCUCGUCUGAUCUCGGAAGCUACGCAGGGUCGGGCCUGGUUAGUACUUGUAUGGGAGACCACCUGGGAAUACCAAGUGCUGUAAGCU